This 465-nucleotide ribosomal RNA is filed under the name uncultured bacterium. Its description in RNAcentral is "partial 16S ribosomal RNA". It matches the Rfam family "Bacterial small subunit ribosomal RNA", at positions 29 to 507 of the family's 1533-position model. The record is from RNAcentral.
AUGAACGCUGGCGGCGUGCUUAACACAUGCCAGUCGAACGAUGAAGCCCAGCUUGCUGGGUGGAUUAGUGGCGAACGGGUGAGUAACACGUGAGUAACCUGCCCUUAACUCUGGGAUAAGCCUGGGAAACUGGGUCUAAUACCGGAUAGGAGCGUCCACCGCAUGGUGGGUGUUGGAAAGAUUUAUCGGUUUUGGAUGGACUCGCGGCCUAUCAGCUUGUUGGUGAGGUAAUGGCUCACCAAGGCGACGACGGGUAGCCGGCCUGAGAGGGUGACCGGCCACACUGGGACUGAGACACGGCCCGGACUCCUACGGGAGGCAGCAGUGGGGAAUAUUGCACAAUGGGCGCAAGCCUGAUGCAGCGACGCCGCGUGAGGGAUGACGGCCUUCGGGUUGUAAACCUCUUUCAGUAGGGAAGAAGCGAAAGUGACGGUACCUGCAGAAGAAGCACCGGCUAACUACGUG